AUUGAACGCUGUGCGGCAGGCCUAACACAUGCAAGUCGAGCGGUAGCACAGAGAGCUUGCUCUCGGGUGACGAGCGGCGGACGGGUGAGUAAUGUCUGGGAAACUGCCUGAUGGAGGGGGAUAACUACUGGAAACGGUAGCUAAUACCGCAUAACGUCGCAAGACCAAAGUGGGGGACCUUCGGGCCUCAUGCCAUCAGAUGUGCCCAGAUGGGAUUAGCUAGUAGGUGGGGUAACGGCUCACCUAGGCGACGAUCCCUAGCUGGUCUGAGAGGAUGACCAGCCACACUGGAACUGAGACACGGUCCAGACUCCUACGGGAGGCAGCAGUGGGGAAUAUUGCACAAUGGGCGCAAGCCUGAUGCAGCCAUGCCGCGUGUGUGAAGAAGGCCUUCGGGUUGUAAAGCACUUUCAGCGGGGAGGAAGGCGUUAAGGUUAAUAACCUUGGCGAUUGACGUUACCCGCAAAAGAAGCACCGGCUAACUCCGUGCCAGCAGCCGCGGUAAUACGGAGGGUGCAAGCGUUAAUCGGAAUUACUGGGCGUAAAGCGCACGCAGGCGGUCUGUCAAGUCGGAUGUGAAAUCCCCGGGCUCAACCUGGGAACUGCAUUCGAAACUGGCAGGCUAGAGUCUUGUAGAGGGGGGUAGAAUUCCAGGUGUAGCGGUGAAAUGCGUAGAGAUCUGGAGGAAUACCGGUGGCGAAGGCGGCCCCCUGGACAAAGACUGACGCUCAGGUGCGAAAGCGUGGGGAGCAAACAGGAUUAGAUACCCUGGUAGUCCACGCCGUAAACGAUGUCGAUUUGGAGGUUGUGCCCUUGAGGCGUGGCUUCCGGAGCUAACGCGUUAAAUCGACCGCCUGGGGAGUACGGCCGCAAGGUUAAAACUCAAAUGAAUUGACGGGGGCCCGCACAAGCGGUGGAGCAUGUGGUUUAAUUCGAUGCAACGCGAAGAACCUUACCUGGUCUUGACAUCCACAGAACUUUCCAGAGAUGGAUUGGUGCCUUCGGGAACUGUGAGACAGGUGCUGCAUGGCUGUCGUCAGCUCGUGUUGUGAAAUGUUGGGUUAAGUCCCGCAACGAGCGCAACCCUUAUCCUUUGUUGCCAGCGGUUAGGCCGGGAACUCAAAGGAGACUGCCAGUGAUAAACUGGAGGAAGGUGGGGAUGACGUCAAGUCAUCAUGGCCCUUACGACCAGGGCUACACACGUGCUACAAUGGCAUAUACAAAGAGAAGCGACCUCGCGAGAGCAAGCGGACCUCAUAAAGUAUGUCGUAGUCCGGAUUGGAGUCUGCAACUCGACUCCAUGAAGUCGGAAUCGCUAGUAAUCGUAGAUCAGAAUGCUACGGUGAACACGUUCCCGGGCAU
Molecule: ribosomal RNA, 1362 nt
Filed under: uncultured bacterium
Lineage: Bacteria
Description: bacterial SSU rRNA
Rfam family: Bacterial small subunit ribosomal RNA
Source: RNAcentral